AGCAGUAGCCGCGGUAAUACGAAGGGGGCUAGCGUUGUUCGGAAUUACUGGGCGUAAAGCGCACGUAGGCGGAUAUUUAAGUCAGGGGUGAAAUCCCGCAGCUCAACUGCGGAACUGCCUUUGAUACUGGGUAUCUUGAGUAUGGAAGAGGUUAGUGGAAUUGCGAGUGUAGAGGUGAAAUUCGUAGAUAUUCACAGGAACACCAGUGGCGAAGGCGGCUAACUGGUCCAUAACUGACGCUGAGGUGCGAAAGCGUGGGGAGCAAACAGGAUUAGAUACCCCCGUAGUCCCUGUCUCUUAUAC
This 303-nucleotide ribosomal RNA is filed under the name uncultured bacterium. RNAcentral's name for it is "partial 16S ribosomal RNA". It matches the Rfam family "Bacterial small subunit ribosomal RNA", at positions 507 to 807 of the family's 1533-position model. The record is from RNAcentral.